Molecule: long non-coding RNA, 2894 nt
Organism: Bubalus bubalis (water buffalo)
Lineage: Eukaryota; Metazoa; Chordata; Mammalia; Artiodactyla; Bovidae
Exons: 2
Source: RefSeq, a predicted model, not a curated record
GCCGCGGGCCUCGGGUGGCCGCGAGCCCAGCCCUGCGCCUCCCAGCGUCCCCGCGCCCCCGCCCUGGCUCCAGAGAGCGGCCGGCUGGGGGUGCGAUGCGGGGUGUGGGGGAGGAGGGGGUGAUUUACAGCCGCGCCGGGCGGACUCGAGCGAAAUCACUUCGACCGGGGAAACCGACUCCCAAGGCUCAGACCGGAAGAGGCCCUGAAAGGGGAGAGGGGAACGGGGGCAGGAGGAGGCCAGCCUCCACUACCCGCGCGGGCUGCGCUCCGGAGACAGCGGCCAUGCAGCUUCCCGCUCUAUGCCCACCUUUGUGCCGGGAAUUGAGCUCCUGGGAGAGCUGGGUAUCCCUCGCCCCGGCGGACCGCUGCCCCGCGCGCCCGCCGCGCAAGCCCCGGGCCUUUUCCACGCGGACCCGCCCAGCCCAAGAACGCUGCUGUCCCACGGCACGCGGGGCGCCAAAUUCGCACCUUUGGGCUGCUUUUACGCGGUUGGAAGCAAAAGGAACUUAGACGCUAGCUCCCAGAGGUCCCCAGAGAAGCCUAGGAACCCCUAGGUCCCACCUCUAUUUAAACACAAUUUGCUUUUUUUUUUUUUUUUUUGCAGCUCAGAAAAUAAACAGUUAAGAGGGCAGCGAGACUGUGCUUAGAAUCUUAAGAUUUUCUUAUAAAUGACCCGAGAGUUUCGUUGCUGAGUUCUCUGCCUCUCCUCAUCAUUCUUAAUACCUAAAAGAAAUAAGCGCUCCCUAAAAUUUUGGCUUUUCCAUUAACUUCUGUAUGCUCUCUGAUCAAACAUCACUUGGGGGUGGAGGGGUGUGCAAAUAGUGAAAUAAAAUAAACGUAUGGUUUCAACUUGAACUAAGAAAUCCUAAGUGGUAGUUCUAAAGUAAAACGUAAUUUUAUUCAAAUUUUGUACAUAUAUUUGGCUGGCUGUGAUGACUUUUCCUACCUACAGCUUUAUCACUAGAAACAGGAGUUGGUGAAAAUGUGCACAAGGAAUAUGGUAUUAGGUUGGACAACUACUCACAGUUAAGAUGCCCAGAGAGACGUGAAUUCACUUGAGCACCCUAACCAUUACUUUCUGCCCAAACAAAAGUCGACAAAGCCAAGCAACAAAGUUAAUGGAGCCCCCUUUUUGUAAGGUGAAGGCUUUUUCAGAAAGAUUUUCUAAAAUAAAUACGCCAACUUAAAAUAUAUUUUUAACUACUGAUUGCUAUUCUAAAAUGCAAGAUUAUGGGGUAAAAGGUCGAAAGUAAAUGUACAACUGUCCUGCUUGUAUAAAGGAGUAAAGAAAACAGUUUCCCAGGAAAAGAGAAUCAACUUGUAAAUGGCUUUACUUGUUACUUUACUUGGAUAUUUCCUUCUAUCCGCCCUUCUCCCCUGUGUCAGUACCAUUAGUUCUAAGUCUGGCCUUGAAGUAUGGGCAGCCGAACAUCUCUAUUCUUGAUAAACAGAAAAACAUAUAUACUCAUAAAGUCAAAGGCAUGAGAAAUGGAGGUCAGUACUUUCCAGGCUCCACUCCCCAAAACCACUGCACAGGUUGGCAAAGGCGCUGCCUCUGAUUACAAAGACUUAUGGAAGGAAAGUCUUUUCUAUCUGUAAUUGAGACUCCAAAAAGAAUUGUUUUACAAAGCCACGCUGCUCUAAAAGCAGCUUGAUCCGACCUCGGCCCCACUGGUCCAGCCAAGCUCACUGAGAAGUUUAGGUUCACCCUCAAUCUCAUUUUAAUCCCUAGGAAGCCGAACACACUUCUUAGCCUUUAUUCUUAACCUUUUCAUCUCGCGUGGUGCUGUGCUUAUGGUGCACACUUUAAGGAAAUGUUUUUGCAAAAAAAUUAACUGGAUGAGUAUUUUAAUCGAAGAAAAACUUUCCUUGGACAAAAAUCUCAAGAGGAAGUUUCACAUCAAAGCAAGGACCAACAAAGCUUAUUUUCGUACUAUGGAGAUCCUUAAGAGUGCUAGUACCUUCUCACUUCAUUUAGCUAUGAAAUAUAAAAGUGUUUGGUUUUCAAUUUUUCUAAAUUACUUGUGGGGUACAGGGAUCGGCGGGAUACUGAGAUUAGAAGGCGAUCCUUAUGCCAUCUGGCGGUGCCGCGCGGAAUUUCGCUGAAGAAGCUAAAUUUAUCGACCAUCUGUGCCUGGAAAGUCUUUGUGAAUCUUGUCCUUUAGAAACCAAGGAGGGAAACAGCCUCCCUCUCCAAGGAUUAAUUUGAAGACAGAGAUUCCCUGUGUUGGUAAAAAUGAGAGGAAAAUCGUGUGCAAUGAAAGUUCACCGUUUCAUGACAUGGAUUUCUAAGCUAAACCAUCAUAUAUGUGCACUACCUAACUCUUGGGUUUUUAAGAUGGAUAAUUAUAGCCCAGUGACAUAAAAGUUUGGGAACGGUGAAGGCAAACUGUGGGGUUGAAUAUUUUGCUGCAUUUAUCUACUGUGCAGGCGUCUGUGCAAUAUCCACCACUGAACACCUGAGGGCGCACUCAAGUCUAUCCAGCCGCUGGUAAUCUGAUUCCUUCCUUCAUUUGCAUGUAUUGCCUUGAUUGGCUGUUAGGCGUUUAAAACGUCAAUUUUACGUCAAACAUUGUUCAACCAAUCAGCAACCUACUCCAGCGUGAUUGGUUUCUACCCUAUGUGUCAAUCAUCUUAAAUUUGCAUACCAGUCCGCUGGUCCCUAGGAGCUAGUCAGUCGCUUGUGGCUGCUGAAGAGAAAGAAUCGGACGGAGAAGAAUGAAAAAUCACUUUGUUCUAGCAAAGCGAAAGAAAAAAACACCUCAAAAUAAGAACAAAAGAAAAAAAAAAUCUCAGGGCCCGCGAAGAGGUAAUUACAAGUUUUAAAUUUCAGAAUUCGUAAAACCGAAGCUUUUAUUUACCAGUUACAAAAUUCUUCUAGGGCUAGUGUAA